UCACUUACCUGGACGGGGUCAAUGGAUGAUCAUGAAGAUCCAUGGCUUAGUGUAGUGGUUUCCAUUGCACUUUGGAGGGGUGCUUUCCUAAGGUCUCCCCAAGUGGGAGAGCCUACGUCAUAAUUUGUGGCAGUGAGGGCCUGCGUUCGCGCGGCAUUUAC
This is a non-coding RNA of Gossypium hirsutum (cotton), 161 nucleotides long. NCBI's taxonomy places the organism in Eukaryota, Viridiplantae, Streptophyta, Magnoliopsida, Malvales, Malvaceae. The record is from Rfam.